UACGUAGGGCGCAAGCGUUGUCCGGAAUUAUUGGGCGUAAAGAGCUCGUAGGCGGCUUGUCACGUCGGAUGUGAAAGCCCGGGGCUUAACCCCGGGUCUGCAUUCGAUACGGGCUAGCUAGAGUGUGGUAGGGGAGAUCGGAAUUCCUGGUGUAGCGGUGAAAUGCGCAGAUAUCAGGAGGAACACCGGUGGCGAAGGCGGAUCUCUGGGCCAGUAUUGACGCUGAGGAGCGAAAGCGUGGGUAGCAAACAGG
This 253-nucleotide ribosomal RNA is filed under the name uncultured bacterium. RNAcentral describes it as "partial 16S ribosomal RNA". It matches the Rfam family "Bacterial small subunit ribosomal RNA", at positions 524 to 776 of the family's 1533-position model. The record is from RNAcentral.